Molecule: long non-coding RNA, 2015 nt
Organism: Helianthus annuus (common sunflower)
Lineage: Eukaryota; Viridiplantae; Streptophyta; Magnoliopsida; Asterales; Asteraceae
Exons: 4
Source: RefSeq, a predicted model, not a curated record
CAUGUUCACGUCAGUUAAGAGCGGAUAUUAGUAGUUAUCUGGGUAGUGCUGUUAGUUGAGGAUAGUAAUUAGAAAUUUUUUUAGUAGUUAUUUAAUUUGAAUUUGAUGUUCCUAUCUCAACUCCUUUGUGACACGUUCCUCCAACCGUUGCCGCCUAAAUUUAUGUCUAUAAACUCCCUUCCACCUCCCUUGGAAUGAUCCAUCCCUAACGCACACUGUUGCUUCUCCCCCAUUAUCUUCUCUCUGCUUAAGGAUUAAUUAUACGAGAAGUCAUAUCUGAGUUAAAACCCUAGAAUUCCCCAACUUGGUUCAGAUGCAACAAAUCCUCUUUUGCUCUGCAACCUCUGAUAGGAAAAUUUUCUUCUCCUGCUGCCCCCACCAGAAAUUACUGGGAUUUGGUAACGUGCUUUUAAUUUUUAAAAGGAUGCGAGAAGGAGAUCAUCCUGGGAAGAAAAAGUAGCGCAUUGAAUCAAAUUUUUAUGGUCUCUGGAUGACAUUUUAAAUGAUGACCACUAUAACCAUGAGGUUUUUUAUCAAAUGUUUUUUGGGUACUUUUACUGCUACUUUAUUUACAAUCAGUUAUUUAAAGGGUAAGAAACCCUUUUGUUUUUUGAAAACUAAUGAAGAACUAGCAUUAAACCCAUUGUUCAUUUGAUACAAGUUUCUAAAGUCAUAUACUAGAUGCAGAUGCAUGCAAUUAUGGAGGAUCUUUUGUGGAAGACAAAAGUAGCAGCUAAGUAUCAAAAUCAUGGCUUUUAGGAGAUGGUCUUAUCAUGGCCUGUUGAGGAUACUUUGAAUGAUGAAGGUGUUCAAAUUUCUUUAGUCGGAUAUGCUUUCUCUUGGCAAUGUUGUAAAAAUACUUGGAUAUGCUCAUAAUCCAUCACUGACAAGAAACUACUCACGAUUGCCGAUGAAACCUUGUCAAAUUCCUUUUAAAGGCCUCGAAAACUGUUGUUGAUUGGGUCCAGAUGCCAUAGAUGAAGGUACCCUUCCACUAACAGCAUCGGUGCCGGCUCUUUUGUCUGCCUGAUCAUUAAGAUGUUUUUUUUUUGUUUAGUAAAGUUCAAUGUAGAGCUAAAGAUAUUGAAUUCUGUUAUAUAUUUCAUGUACAUCUAAAGAUUGAGACCAACGAUUCCUGAAAUCAUCACAUCAAAGAUCAAAGCUCAGGUAGAAUACAUAAAUUCUUAUAGGCCUGGUGUGGGCCAUGCCUCCCGAACUGCUGCAACAUAUCUUCAAUAUGUAAAAGGACAACACUCACAGUAUGACUCACUUCAAUUUUGUUAUAAAAUCUUUUUUAGGCUAAUCACCAGCUAAGGAAGAUGUCACAAGAGAUGUCUCAAUAUUUGAUCUAUUUGAUUCGGUGACUGAUUUAUGCUUUUCAAAUAGAUUAAUAAAGGAAAUGUCGACCUAUAAAGCGUCUAUACAAAUCAAAGAAACGGGUUGAAGAUCACGGGCUGAAACAGGAUGUUGUUGCUAAUGCCUCUAAACCAAAUGCUUAGCUCAUGAUCUCAACUCUCACUGAUUUUUUCCAUCAUGUUAUCAUUGUUAAAAAUAUUGUGGUUUCAUUUCUGUAUGAUAUCAGAGGGAGAUGAAAAAUGGUGCGAUGAAGGAUAGCUUAAUGUUGUUUAGCAAAGGAAGAGGUUAGAGAGUUGUGUGGGUUUAAGCUUGGUGCCAAUGGUCAUGUGAAGGUGCACUAGCUACUGCAAUGGUGACGUUGUUGGCACACUUAGGGUGUUCACUAGCUGUGAUCUUGAAUUCAAUUGUGAUUUGUUCCCCUGGUUGUCAAGAAGGUCAUCCGUUUUUUGUUCAUUCCCUAUACACAUUUCCAUGUUAAGUUGCUUGUGUAUGAUAUGUGUAUUUUGAGUCCACUUUUUGGCAAAGAAUAGUUGACUAUUAUCACAUUGACCUAUGAUUUUACAACAUUGCAGAUUGAUAGCUUCGAACAUUGAGUAUGUGAUGGUCAUAACUUCUAUCUCUUGUGUUUUCUUUUUUGAAAAUUGUAAAAUGUUUUUUUC